Molecule: ribosomal RNA, 2923 nt
Filed under: Staphylococcus aureus
Lineage: Bacteria; Bacillati; Bacillota; Bacilli; Caryophanales; Staphylococcaceae
Description: 23S ribosomal RNA
Rfam family: Bacterial large subunit ribosomal RNA
Source: RNAcentral
GAUUAAGUUAUUAAGGGCGCACGGUGGAUGCCUUGGCACUAGAAGCCGAUGAAGGACGUUACUAACGACGAUAUGCUUUGGGGAGCUGUAAGUAAGCUUUGAUCCAGAGAUUUCCGAAUGGGGAAACCCAGCAUGAGUUAUGUCAUGUUAUCGAUAUGUGAAUACAUAGCAUAUCAGAAGGCACACCCGGAGAACUGAAACAUCUUAGUACCCGGAGGAAGAAAAAGAAAAUUCGAUUCCCUUAGUAGCGGCGAGCGAAACGGGAAGAGCCCAAACCAACAAGCUUGCUUGUUGGGGUUGUAGGACACUCUAUACGGAGUUACAAAGGACGACAUUAGACGAAUCAUCUGGAAAGAUGAAUCAAAGAAGGUAAUAAUCCUGUAGUCGAAAAUGUUGUCUCUCUUGAGUGGAUCCUGAGUACGACGGAGCACGUGAAAUUCCGUCGGAAUCUGGGAGGACCAUCUCCUAAGGCUAAAUACUCUCUAGUGACCGAUAGUGAACCAGUACCGUGAGGGAAAGGUGAAAAGCACCCCGGAAGGGGAGUGAAAUAGAACCUGAAACCGUGUGCUUACAAGUAGUCAGAGCCCGUUAAUGGGUGAUGGCGUGCCUUUUGUAGAAUGAACCGGCGAGUUACGAUUUGAUGCAAGGUUAAGCAGUAAAUGUGGAGCCGUAGCGAAAGCGAGUCUGAAUAGGGCGUUUAGUAUUUGGUCGUAGACCCGAAACCAGGUGAUCUACCCUUGGUCAGGUUGAAGUUCAGGUAACACUGAAUGGAGGACCGAACCGACUUACGUUGAAAAGUGAGCGGAUGAACUGAGGGUAGCGGAGAAAUUCCAAUCGAACCUGGAGAUAGCUGGUUCUCUCCGAAAUAGCUUUAGGGCUAGCCUCAAGUGAUGAUUAUUGGAGGUAGAGCACUGUUUGGACGAGGGGCCCCUCUCGGGUUACCGAAUUCAGACAAACUCCGAAUGCCAAUUAAUUUAACUUGGGAGUCAGAACAUGGGUGAUAAGGUCCGUGUUCGAAAGGGAAACAGCCCAGACCACCAGCUAAGGUCCCAAAAUAUAUGUUAAGUGGAAAAGGAUGUGGCGUUGCCCAGACAACUAGGAUGUUGGCUUAGAAGCAGCCAUCAUUUAAAGAGUGCGUAAUAGCUCACUAGUCGAGUGACACUGCGCCGAAAAUGUACCGGGGCUAAACAUAUUACCGAAGCUGUGGAUUGUCCUUUGGACAAUGGUAGGAGAGCGUUCUAAGGGCGUUGAAGCAUGAUCGUAAGGACAUGUGGAGCGCUUAGAAGUGAGAAUGCCGGUGUGAGUAGCGAAAGACGGGUGAGAAUCCCGUCCACCGAUUGACUAAGGUUUCCAGAGGAAGGCUCGUCCGCUCUGGGUUAGUCGGGUCCUAAGCUGAGGCCGACAGGCGUAGGCGAUGGAUAACAGGUUGAUAUUCCUGUACCACCUAUAAUCGUUUUAAUCGAUGGGGGGACGCAGUAGGAUAGGCGAAGCGUGCGAUUGGAUUGCACGUCUAAGCAGUAAGGCUGAGUAUUAGGCAAAUCCGGUACUCGUUAAGGCUGAGCUAUGAUGGGGAGAAGACAUUGAGUCUUCGAGUCGUUGAUUUCACACUGCCGAGAAAAGCCUCUAGAUAGAAAAUAGGUGCCCGUACCGCAAACCGACACAGGUAGUCAAGAUGAGAAUUCUAAGGUGAGCGAGCGAACUCUCGUUAAGGAACUCGGCAAAAUGACCCCGUAACUUCGGGAGAAGGGGUGCUCUUUAGGGUUAACGCCCAGAAGAGCCGCAGUGAAUAGGCCCAAGCGACUGUUUAUCAAAAACACAGGUCUCUGCUAAACCGUAAGGUGAUGUAUAGGGGCUGACGCCUGCCCGGUGCUGGAAGGUUAAGAGGAGUGGUUAGCUUCUGCGAAGCUACGAAUCGAAGCCCCAGUAAACGGCGGCCGUAACUAUAACGGUCCUAAGGUAGCGAAAUUCCUUGUCGGGUAAGUUCCGACCCGCACGAAAGGCGUAACGAUUUGGGCACUGUCUCAACGAGAGACUCGGUGAAAUCAUAGUACCUGUGAAGAUGCAGGUUACCCGCGACAGGACGGAAAGACCCCGUGGAGCUUUACUGUAGCCUGAUAUUGAAAUUCGGCACAGCUUGUACAGGAUAGGUAGGAGCCUUUGAAACGUGAGCGCUAGCUUACGUGGAGGCGCUGGUGGGAUACUACCCUAGCUGUGUUGGCUUUCUAACCCGCACCACUUAUCGUGGUGGGAGACAGUGUCAGGCGGGCAGUUUGACUGGGGCGGUCGCCUCCUAAAAGGUAACGGAGGCGCUCAAAGGUUCCCUCAGAAUGGUUGGAAAUCAUUCAUAGAGUGUAAAGGCAUAAGGGAGCUUGACUGCGAGACCUACAAGUCGAGCAGGGUCGAAAGACGGACUUAGUGAUCCGGUGGUUCCGCAUGGAAGGGCCAUCGCUCAACGGAUAAAAGCUACCCCGGGGAUAACAGGCUUAUCUCCCCCAAGAGUUCACAUCGACGGGGAGGUUUGGCACCUCGAUGUCGGCUCAUCGCAUCCUGGGGCUGUAGUCGGUCCCAAGGGUUGGGCUGUUCGCCCAUUAAAGCGGUACGCGAGCUGGGUUCAGAACGUCGUGAGACAGUUCGGUCCCUAUCCGUCGUGGGCGUAGGAAAUUUGAGAGGAGCUGUCCUUAGUACGAGAGGACCGGGAUGGACAUACCUCUGGUGUACCAGUUGUCGUGCCAACGGCAUAGCUGGGUAGCUAUGUGUGGACGGGAUAAGUGCUGAAAGCAUCUAAGCAUGAAGCCCCCCUCAAGAUGAGAUUUCCCAACUUCGGUUAUAAGAUCCCUCAAAGAUGAUGAGGUUAAUAGGUUCGAGGUGGAAGCAUGGUGACAUGUGGAGCUGACGAAUACUAAUCGAUCGAAGACUUAAUCAA